GUCCCGGGCAGCCGCUCAGCCCCCUGCCCCCCGCCGCCUGCUGGGCCGGGCCGAGGAUGCAGCGCAGCGCCUCGGUGGUGGCCAGGCUCGCUCCGCUCCAGCGUGCUUGCUAACUUCCCCGGCUCCGUCCCUGCCUGCCGGGGCCGCUCCGUGUCCCCGAGCCCUCCGGGUCUGGUUCUCUAAGCUCUCCGGGCGCUGCCUCCGGGUCCCUCGUAGCCCGCCCGCGAGCUCGCGCUCCCCCGCUGCGUCCCCAUCCUUGUCCUCACCAUGCUGCCCUUCGGCCUCGUGGCCGCCCUGCUGCUGGCCGCAGGGCCUCGGCCGAGCCUGGGCGACGAAGCCAUCCACUGCCCCCCUUGCUCCGAGGAGAAGCUGGCGCGCUGCCGACCCCCCGUGGGUUGCGAGGAGCUGGUGCGGGAGCCGGGCUGCGGUUGUUGCGCCACUUGCGCCCUGGGCUUGGGGAUGCCCUGCGGGGUGUACACCCCACGCUGUGGCUCAGGCAUGCGCUGCUACCCGCCCCGGGGGGUGGAGAAGCCCCUGCGCACUUUGAUGCACGGGCAAGGCGUGUGCACUGAGCUGUCGGAGAUCGAAGCCAUCCAGGAAAGCCUGCAGCCCUCUGACAAGGAUGAGAGCGAACAUCCCAACAACAGCUUCAACCCCUGCAGCGCCCACGAUCAUAGGUGCCUGCAGAAGCAUAUGGCCAAAAUGCGAGAUCGGAGCAAGAUGAAGGUCCUGGGGACACCCCGGGAGGAACCCCGGCCUGUGCCGCAGGGCUCCUGCCAGAGCGAGCUGCACCGGGCCCUGGAGAGACUGGCUGCCUCGCAGAGCCGCACCCACGAAGACCUCUUCAUCAUCCCCAUUCCCAACUGUGACCGCAAUGGCAACUUCCACCCCAAACAGUGUCACCCCGCCCUGGAUGGACAGCGCGGCAAGUGCUGGUGUGUGGAUCGGAAGACAGGAGUGAAGCUUCCAGGGGGCUUGGAACCCAAGGGGGAGCUGGACUGCCACCAGCUGGCUGACAGCUUCCAAGAGUGAGGCCUGCCCGCAGGUGGGGGACUCGGUGCCCCCUGCUAGGCCCCUGUGAUCUGGGGGGCUGUAGAGUUGACCUGGCAUGGAGUCUCGGUCUGAAGCCUGGCUCUUUGCCUCUGGCCCUGCCCAAAGUUUCCCUUGGUGUAGUUUGCGUGUGUUCAUGUGUUACGUGUGUGUGCGUAUGUACGUGCGUUUACGGGGUGUGUCCCACAGGGUAAACCUGAGCUUGGAGUGCCCGCUAUGGGCUUAGAUAGGCCAGGAGGUCUGAGUGUAGCAACAGGAAGCCCCAGUGUGUUCUUAAAUCAGUCUUGAAUUCAUUCAUUCAUUCAUUCAUUCAUUCAUUCUGCCAUCCAAAACCAUGUAUUGACAACAUACUUUGUGCCAGCUUUAGUGUUCAGCCCCGGGAGGACUCAUUCGGAUGUCCUCUGACUGCCGUGGUGUGAGGUGUUCCUAUAAGGCCCGUGGGAGAGGAAUGGAUGGGGUCAGAGGAAGGCCUGAAAGACGGGGGUCGGGGAGGUGGGCUUAUUGAGCAUGCAGGAGAGAAGAAAGAAGGCAAGAUUGGAUUUCGUGUGUCUGAUGGAGAAGAAGAGUCAUGUGCUGGGGGUGAGGAGCUGUGGAGGUCCUGUUCUGGUCCCCAGUUGUGACUGGUCAUAAAGUCACCAGGCUGACCCUCUUUCCAGUUGCCCUCUGGCUCUGUCCCCCUCCCCAUGUCCCCUCUCCCCUUUACACCUCCGGUCCUACCCUCUUUAUCCCCCUGGGCAUUUUCUGGCUUGCCUGGAUAGACUUAGAGACCUGCUUGUUGGCUGUGAUGUCUUUUCAUUCUUCUUCUUCUUUUUUUUUAAAAAAACAAAACAAAACAAAACAAAAAAAACAGAACAAAACCAAAAAGUGUCCAGGUGAUUGUGUUUGGUUGAUUUAUUUACAGUGAGAGGUAAGGAUGGAUCAGGGGUGGAGGGAGGUGGGCCUUGUAUGGCCCCAGACCUUUCUGAUUGGUGAGCGACUGCUACAAACCGGAAGCCCUCCCCUGGGGUUUCUCCCAAGGCAGUUCCACUGUCGCAUAGGAGGUGGGUCCUGUGGCUUUGGAGGCGUGGCCAAGGAAGCCGUCUGCGCCCACCGCGGGCUCCUGUAUCAGACUUCCUACUGAGGCUGUAGCAAUCCCUGAGGCACCAGGCUGCUGCCAUCAGCAGGAGGUCUCCAGGUCACCUCCCAACCCCCCAUCUAGAGAAUCGCAGCCAGGCUGAUGGAGCCUGUGAGUGGAAACUUCAAGGAACUGGCUCCCCAGGCCCUUACACAGUCUCUAAAGUGCAAACAACAUAUUUUCACCAUGCAAUGGUAUUUAAUUACACAUAAAAACAGAGCCAUUAAACUGAAAUUAAACCCUU
Molecule: RNA transcript, 2408 nt
Organism: Meriones unguiculatus (Mongolian gerbil)
Lineage: Eukaryota; Metazoa; Chordata; Mammalia; Rodentia; Muridae
Gene: Igfbp4
Gene name: insulin like growth factor binding protein 4
Exons: 6
Source: RefSeq, a predicted model, not a curated record